This is a long non-coding RNA of Vanessa atalanta (red admiral), 1745 nucleotides long. RefSeq lists it as uncharacterized. The record is from RefSeq and is a predicted model, not a curated record. NCBI's taxonomy places the organism in Eukaryota, Metazoa, Arthropoda, Insecta, Lepidoptera, Nymphalidae. The transcript is spliced from 3 exons.
GCUCAGCGGCGCGGGGCGUAUCGGGGCGCGCGGGAGGACGGCAUAAGCGAUAUUGGGUUUUAUUAAGUAUGAAUGCAGCGUCUGACAGCAAACACCGUAUUUCCCGCGCGCCGCUCGCUUGUCCCACAUUCACGAACAUUACAACAAAUGCAAAUAGUGACACAAUUAACAUAUUGAUUCAAGGUUAAAAUUGGACAGAACAAUAUCAGGUUAGGGAUUUAAAAGUUACAUACAAGCAAAGGAGGAUAGACGGUUACAGUAAAAAACGGGCGGUUAAAACAGUGGAAGUGUACGAGGAAGCCAAGGUCAAGGGAUGAGUUCCCCAAGCGCUGACCAGACCUAGCCUAUUGCUUUCGUGCCGCAAACAGACAGGUUACGAAGAGGAGGAGGCAGGUCAUUCCAGCACCUAGUGGCGCAGAACCUAAAGCUUCCUCGGAAACUCACCGUUCUAUGUAUUGGCAUUCUAAGUUUUAUCAAUGACGCUCUAGUGACAUGCUCACUAUCAUUAUUUCCUAACCACUGUAAUUUAUGAUAGAGGUAAGGUGGAACCUGGUAUUUUAUAGUGCCAAAAAGUAACGUAGCGAAAUGUAAUUGCAUACGAUAAUUCAUUUUUAAGAUGUUAGCAUUAUUUAAAUAUGGUGUGAUAUGUGUACGUGGCGGUAUUUUAAAGCAGUAGCGAGCGCAGGCGUUCUGGACUCGUUGGAUGAUUUUUUUUGUACGUUCAAGUAAACGGGGCCCUAUAACUACAUCUGCAUAAUUAAAUUUAGAAAGAACUAACGCCUCACAAAGUCUAAUGCGUACUUUGGUAGAAAUGGAGUCUCUAAUAUUAUAAAGAAUUUUUAACCUAUAAAAACAGUUUUUGGCAAUAUUAUUUACAUGCUUUUCAAAACGAAGUUCCUCGUCAAAUAGAACACCUAGGUUGCGCGCUUCAGUCACCCUUUGUAUACGUACACCUUUUAUAUCAAUAUUUGGAUCACAAUUACUAAUAAUUUGAAUUUGCCGCUCUGUACCAAGUAUCAUGUAUUUAGUUUUGUUAGGGUUCAUUUCUAGCGUGUUUGAAAUUGACCAACGGGCUAUACGAUCCAAAUCUUGGUUGAGUUGUUGCAAAGCUGCUUGUACCUUACAUGGCUUAAAAGAAAUAUACAACUGCAGAUCAUCAGCAUACAAGUGAUAGUUGCAGUGAUUAAUUUGUUUUACAAUAUCAGUUGUAUAAAUCGUAAAUAAAAUUGGUCCUAAAAUAGAGCCUUGUGGUACUCCUCUAGUUACAUGCCUUAUGUCAGAUUUAGCAACACUCCCAUCUUCUGACUUAAUCUCUACGUAUUGGCUGCGGCAACUCAUAUAACUCGCAAACCAUUGUACAGUUUUGUCGUCGAACCCAUAAUAUGACAGCUUUGAUAUCAACAAUGGAAUGUUUAUGGUGUCAAACGCACGAGAGUAGUCUAGGAGUACUAGUAUAGUACCCUCGCCCCUGUCUCGAGCAGAUAGGAUAUCAUCGACAACGUCUGCUAAAGCAGUCGUAGUCCCUCGAUUUUUCCUAAAUCCUGAUUGUUUAUCUGGCAAAAUUUUAUUUAACUCCAAAAAGUCUCUUAGUUGAUUGCAUACAACUUUUUCAAGAAUCUUGGACAAACAUGGUAGAAUGCUUAUUGGACGUAAAUCUUUAAAUUCUAAGGGCGUGUCGAUCUUAGGUAUAGGUCUUACAAUAGCUUUGCACCAAAGAUCUGGGAAUUUGGAUGUUAAUAUGGAGG